RNAcentral lists this long non-coding RNA (1278 nucleotides) under Citrus sinensis (sweet orange). RNAcentral's name for it is "long non-coding RNA (CSIN_LNC003233)". Lineage: Eukaryota; Viridiplantae; Streptophyta; Magnoliopsida; Sapindales; Rutaceae. The record is from RNAcentral.
UCCAAUCGUGUCCCUUUUAGCAGAUCCAUCCCCACCCCUAGCAGAUCCUUUGGUGUCACCCUGUCAAAAUUCAAUUUGUUGGCUUCAUAACUUUACAAGGCAGGAAAUAAAGGCUAUAUAAAUUAAAUGAUAAAUGAUCAGGAGUAAGAGAGUUUUGUUACCUCCAUCUAUGACAAUGUGAUUAUUGCAAGAUUUAGUCCCCAAAAGAAACAAAAAAGCAAUAAUUGUCAGAAAUUUUCAGGAAACACACUUCUCAAGGCAUUGCACAAAAAGCCAACAAAAAGUCAAUGAUGCAUUCGGUUACUAUCAAAUAAAAGCAAGGAAAGUUCAGAGUUCGAAGAGAACAGGAAUCAAUGAAGCUAAAGGAAAGGAGGAGCCAGAAGUGAAAGAAAUCUUACCUCCCUGUACCUCAUAAGGUAUGCCUUAAGAGGAUCAAUAUAAUCUUCAAAACCCAGAGUUGCCAUUGCCCAGAGCAAAUCAUCCCCAUUAAUUGUCUUCCUCUUCUCCUUCUGACACUUAUCACUCGCCCUACAGGACAAAAAUGAAAAACCUAUUUCAAGAAACCGAAUCAGAUCUUCCAAUAAAACAACUGCAAACAAACAAACCACAUUCCACAAAACAAAAGCCAGCUCCUGGAAGCAUCAAACACAAUUCGCAAGACAAAUUUUCACUUUCAACAACACCAUUCACCCAGUCCACAAAAUAAAAUCCCUUUUAUUAAAAUCAACGACAUCUUUAUCCAACCAAACAAAAUCUAACUUCCCAAAACAAUUAUCAAGUUCGACAAAAACAAAAUCCCUCAUUUGAAAAAAAAAAUCCAGUCGAUAAAAUGAAAAAAAACAAAAAAAAACCACUUUCCAAAGCUGACACCUUCCACCAAACUAUAGGACCUUUAUUUUCCAAAACACCAUCACAUUCUCAAAUCAAAAUCGAGCCAGCUACACACUUUCCAAACACACCAAUUCGCUGUUAUAAAAUUGACCAACCAAUUAUCACCAAAAAGAAAACAGUAUUAAUAAUAAAUAAAAGCAAUUAACAGAAAUAGAAUUGAAUUGCAUUACAUACUCGCUGGUAAUGAAGCUGAUGAACUCAGAGACACAUUCCUGUACAGUAUCCUUAGCAUCCUUAGCGAUCUUGCCAUUAGCAGGCAAAGCCUUCUUCAUGAUCCUGCUAAUGUUAGCUAUUGGCAAAUACCUGUCCUGCUCUCUCACUCCCCCAGCGUGCGGGCUCUGCUCUCCCCCGCUCUCGUGGCUACCUCCCGCCGGACUCGUCGGUGCU